Small nucleolar RNA from Electrophorus electricus (electric eel), 70 nucleotides. RefSeq annotates it as small nucleolar RNA U54. NCBI's taxonomy places the organism in Eukaryota, Metazoa, Chordata, Actinopteri, Gymnotiformes, Gymnotidae. The record is from RefSeq and is a predicted model, not a curated record.
UGGCUAUGAGGAUAACAACAUUAGAAUGAUUCUGUGUGUGAUUUCUAUAAUACGCUAUUCUGAGCCCCCU